AACGAACGCUGGCGGCGCGCCUAAUACAUGCAAGUCGAGCGAGAAGACGUAGCAAUACGUUUGUAAAGCGGCGAACGGGUGAGGAAUACAUGGGUAACCUACCCUCGAGUGGGGAAUAACUAGCCGAAAGGUUAGCUAAUACCGCGUACGCUCCUUGGACUUCGGUUCAGGGAGGAAAGCGAUACCGUGGGUAGUCGCGCUCUUGGAUGGGCGUCAUGUCCUAUCAGCUUGUUGGUGAGGUAACGGCUCACCAAGGCUUCGACGGGUAGCUGGUCUGAGAGGACGAUCAGCCACACUGGCACUGCGACACGGGCCAGACUCCUACGGGAGGCAGCAGUAAGGAAUAUUGCGCAAUGGGCGAAAGCCUGACGCAGCGACGCCGCGUGGGGGACGAAGGUCUUCGGAUUUGUAAAACUCUUUAGCCGAUGAAUAUAAUGACUGUAGUCGGAAAAUAAGCCCCGGCUAACUUCGUGCCAGCAGCCGCCGCUGU
Molecule: ribosomal RNA, 490 nt
Filed under: uncultured bacterium
Lineage: Bacteria
Description: bacterial SSU rRNA
Rfam family: Bacterial small subunit ribosomal RNA
Source: RNAcentral